Molecule: ribosomal RNA, 550 nt
Filed under: uncultured bacterium
Lineage: Bacteria
Description: bacterial SSU rRNA
Rfam family: Bacterial small subunit ribosomal RNA
Source: RNAcentral
UAGGGAAUCUUCGGCAAUGGGGGCAACCCUGACCGAGCAACGCCGCGUGAGUGAAGAAGGUUUUCGGAUCGUAAAGCUCUGUUGUAAGUCAAGAACGAGUGUGAGAGUGGAAAGUUCACACUGUGACGGUAGCUUACCAGAAAGGGACGGCUAACUACGUGCCAGCAGCCGCGGUAAUACGUAGGUCCCGAGCGUUGUCCGGAUUUAUUGGGCGUAAAGCGAGCGCAGGCGGUUAGAUAAGUCUGAAGUUAAAGGCUGUGGCUUAACCAUAGUACGCUUUGGAAACUGUUUAACUUGAGUGCAAGAGGGGAGAGUGGAAUUCCAUGUGUAGCGGUGAAAUGCGUAGAUAUAUGGAGGAACACCGGUGGCGAAAGCGGCUCUCUGGUCUGUAACUGACGCUGAGGCUCGAAAGCGUGGGGAGCGAACAGGAUUAGAUACCCUGGUAGUCCACGCCGUAAACGAUGAGUGCUAGGUGUUGGAUCCUUUCCGGGAUUCAGUGCCGCAGCUAACGCGUUAAGCACUCCGCCUGGGGAGUACGACCGCAAGGUUG